RNAcentral lists this transfer RNA (64 nucleotides) under Xylotrechus magnicollis. RNAcentral's name for it is "tRNA-Arg". Lineage: Eukaryota; Metazoa; Arthropoda; Insecta; Coleoptera; Cerambycidae. The record is from RNAcentral.
AAGUGGAAAGCAAAAAUUUGCAGUUAGUUUCGACCUAAAAGUUUGAUGGUUACAUCUCUACUUA